AGUGAACGCUGGCGGUAGGCCUAACACAUGCAAGUCGAACGGCAGCACAGUAAGAGCUUGCUCUUACGGGUGGCGAGUGGCGGACGGGUGAGGAAUACAUCGAAAUCUACUUUUUCGUGGGGGAUAACGUAGGGAAACUUACGCUAAUACCGCAUACGACCUACGGGUGAAAGCAGGGGAUCUUCGGACCUUGCGCGAUUGAAUGAGCCGAUGUCGGAUUAGCUAGUUGGCGGGGUAAAGGCCCACCAAGGCGACGAUCCGUAGCUGGUCUGAGAGGAUGAUCAGCCACACUGGAACUGAGACACGGUCCAGACUCCUACGGGAGGCAGCAGUGGGGAAUAUUGGACAAUGGGCGCAAGCCUGAUCCAGCCAUACCGCGUGGGUGAAGAAGGCCUUCGGGUUGUAAAGCCCUUUUGUUGGGAAAGAAGGGCAGCAGGUUAAUACCCCGCUGUUCUGACGGUACCCAAAGAAUAAGCACCGGCUAACUUCGUG
Molecule: ribosomal RNA, 492 nt
Filed under: uncultured bacterium
Lineage: Bacteria
Description: partial 16S ribosomal RNA
Rfam family: Bacterial small subunit ribosomal RNA
Source: RNAcentral